Long non-coding RNA from Caretta caretta (loggerhead turtle), 547 nucleotides. RefSeq lists it as uncharacterized. NCBI's taxonomy places the organism in Eukaryota, Metazoa, Chordata, Testudines, Cheloniidae. The record is from RefSeq and is a predicted model, not a curated record.
GAGAGAUAACAGGUUGUGCAGGACAACAAUAGCUGUGACAUCAUAAUCAGAUCACGCCAUGACCUCAGCCAGUCCUGACUCAUGCCCUGCACCACGUGGACCAUGAAAUCUGGAGUAAAGCCAACGUGCAGGGUUCACACAAAUGCAGUUACAGAGGAACAUAACUAUGAAAAAUGUACAGCACUUUAAUGUGAAGCAGGUUGAAGAAUCUUACAGCUUGGUUUCUUGAUGCUAAUAACUCGGGACAGAAAGAUUUUGGGGCUAAACUGUUACAUUCCAUUCUCCCUGUGCACCUGUAUCUGAAAUAUAUUGACAAUAUUGCUACUUUUAAAAAAAAGUAUUAAAAUGUAGCCUUUAAAAAAAAAUUAACCCAGAAAUAUUUCAUGGUCUACCUGCUCAUAUCAUUUCAAAACAGUAUCACACCAAAAGGAGUUUGCUCAAGUCAUUCCUACUAAGAUAAACAUGGACACCCAAAAUGUAGGCAGUGUACACAGAGGUGUACCCUGUCACACCACUGACUGGCUUUCAUGCAUACAGUUACAAAGAU